This 73-nucleotide transfer RNA is filed under the name Limnochorda pilosa. It matches the Rfam family "tRNA". Rfam says of the family: Transfer RNA (tRNA) molecules are approximately 80 nucleotides in length. Their secondary structure includes four short double-helical elements and three loops (D, anti-codon, and T loops). The record is from Rfam by way of RNAcentral. Lineage: Bacteria; Bacillati; Bacillota; Limnochordia; Limnochordales; Limnochordaceae.
GGGGAUGUAGCUCAGCUGGGAGAGCGCCUGCUUUGCACGCAGGAGGUCGGCGGUUCGAGCCCGCUCAUCUCCA